UGGGGAAUAUUGCACAAUGGGCGAAAGCCUGAUGCAGCGACGCCGCGUGAGGGAUGACGGCCUUCGGGUUGUAAACCUCUUUCAGCAGGGACGAAGCGCAAGUGACGGUACCUGCAGAAGAAGCACCGGCUAACUACGUGCCAGCAGCCGCGGUAAUACGUAGGGUGCAAGCGUUGUCCGGAAUUACUGGGCGUAAAGGGUUCGUAGGCGGUUUGUCGCGUCGUUUGUGAAAACCAGCAGCUCAACUGCUGGCUUGCAGGCGAUACGGGCAGACUUGAGUACUGCAGGGGAGACUGGAAUUCCUGGUGUAGCGGUGAAAUGCGCAGAUAUCAGGAGGAACACCGGUGGCGAAGGCGGGUCUCUGGGCAGUAACUGACGCUGAGGAACGAAAGCGUGGGUAGCGAACAGG
This 409-nucleotide ribosomal RNA is filed under the name bacterium. RNAcentral describes it as "partial 16S ribosomal RNA". It matches the Rfam family "Bacterial small subunit ribosomal RNA", at positions 355 to 776 of the family's 1533-position model. The record is from RNAcentral. RNAcentral also lists the same sequence under 1 other name.